RNAcentral lists this ribosomal RNA (495 nucleotides) under uncultured bacterium. RNAcentral's name for it is "partial 16S ribosomal RNA". It matches the Rfam family "Bacterial small subunit ribosomal RNA", at positions 28 to 507 of the family's 1533-position model. The record is from RNAcentral.
GACGAGCGCUGGCGGCGUGCCUAAUACAUGCAAGUAGAACGCUGAAGGAGGAGCUUGCUUCUCCGGAUGAGUUGCGAACGGGUGAGUAACGCGUAGGUAACCUGCCUGGUAGCGGGGGAUAACUAUUGGAAACGAUAGCUAAUACCGCAUAAGAGUAGAUGUCGCAUGACAUUUGCUUAAAAGGUGCAACUGCACCACUACCAGAUGGACCUGCGUUGUAUUAGCUAGUUGGUGAGGUAACGGCUCACCAAGGCAACGAUACAUAGCCGACCUGAGAGGGUGAUCGGCCACACUGGGACUGAGACACGACCCAGACUCCUACGGGAGGCAGCAGUAGGGAAUCUUCGGCAAUGGACGGAAGUCUGACCGAGCAACGCCGCGUGAGUGAAGAAGGUUUUCGGAUCGUAAAGCUCUGUUGUAAGAGAAGAACGAGUGUGAGAGUGGAAAGUUCACACUGUGACGGUAUCUGACCAGAAAGGGACGGCUAACUACGUG